UCCCUGAUGGUUCAGACGUUAAAAGCAUCUGCCUAUAAUGCAGGGGACCCAGGUUCGAUCCCUGGGUCGGGAA
Transfer RNA from Ovis aries (sheep), 73 nucleotides. It matches the Rfam family "tRNA". Rfam says of the family: Transfer RNA (tRNA) molecules are approximately 80 nucleotides in length. The record is from Rfam. NCBI's taxonomy places the organism in Eukaryota, Metazoa, Chordata, Mammalia, Artiodactyla, Bovidae.